This is a long non-coding RNA of Chiroxiphia lanceolata (lance-tailed manakin), 468 nucleotides long. RefSeq lists it as uncharacterized. The transcript has 3 exons. Lineage: Eukaryota; Metazoa; Chordata; Aves; Passeriformes; Pipridae. The record is from RefSeq and is a predicted model, not a curated record.
GUGGGGUCCGGUCCAAAGCCUAAUAGAAGAUGAGAAGAAGUCUUCAGUGGUCACCACUUAGCUUUGAAUCAGUUCCAUGGGCACACAGAGGACACACAGAGGAUUAGCACACCUGGGGACAGCAACAACCCCAGGCCUUUGCUGCAAGGGCAGAUAGGGUUUCCAAAGACCAGGAUUGUUUUCCUGCCUGGUCCCUCUCUCCCUGGAUGGGAAAUGUUCUCCAUCCCUCAGACUGGCUCCAAUCAAUCUCUCUCAGUGCAGCAUGUGUCAAGCCUGGAAGUUUUAUGGAUUUGGAGGAGAAACCCUGAGGAUGGGCCAGCACAGGGAGUGUGUGAAGUGCUUGGAACUUCAGUGGAGGCAUCCUGAUUUAUGCAAAAGAGAAUCAGGCCAUGCCUUCUGCUUUUUGAGUGCUUCCAGGGCAUAAUGAUGGCAUUUAGAGCAAUUUUACCUUGAGGUCAUCAAUUCAGA